RNAcentral lists this ribosomal RNA (374 nucleotides) under uncultured bacterium. RNAcentral describes it as "bacterial SSU rRNA". It matches the Rfam family "Bacterial small subunit ribosomal RNA", at positions 30 to 404 of the family's 1533-position model. The record is from RNAcentral.
AUUGAACGCUGGCGGCAGGCCUAACACAUGCAAGUCGAGCGGUAGAGAGGUGCUUGCAUCUCUUGAGAGCGGCGGACGGGUGAGUAAUGCCUAGGAAUCUGCCUAGUGGUGGGGGAUAACGUUCGGAAACGGACGCUAAUACCGCAUACGUCCUACGGGAGAAAGCGGGGGAUCUUCGGACCUCGCGCCAUUAGAUGAGCCUAGGUCGGAUUAGCUAGUUGGUGAGGUAAUGGCUCACCAAGGCGACGAUCCGUAACUGGUCUGAGAGGAUGAUCAGUCACACUGGGACUGAGACACGGUCCAGACUCCUACGGGAGGCAGCAGUGGGGAAUAUUGGACAAUGGGCGAAAGCCUGAUCCAGCCAUGCCGCGUGU